This 301-nucleotide ribosomal RNA is filed under the name uncultured bacterium. RNAcentral's name for it is "partial 16S ribosomal RNA". It matches the Rfam family "Bacterial small subunit ribosomal RNA", at positions 509 to 807 of the family's 1533-position model. The record is from RNAcentral.
CAGCCGCCACGGUAAUACGAAGGGUGCAAGCGUUAAUCGGAAUUACUGGGCGUAAAGCGUGCGUAGGCGGUGAGUUAAGUCUGCUGUGAAAUCCCCGGGCUCAACCUGGGAAUGGCAGUGGAUACUGGCUCGCUAGAGUGUGUCAGAGGAUGGUGGAAUUCCCGGUGUAGCGGUGAAAUGCGUAGAGAUCGGGGGGAACAUCAGUGGCGAAGGCGGCCAUCUGGGACAACACUGACGCUGAGGCACGAAAGCGUGGGGAGCAAGCAGGAUUAGAGACCCCUGUAGUCCCUGUCUCUUAUAC